UUGAACGCUGGCGGCAUGCCUUACACAUGCAAGUCGAGCGGCAGCGCGGGGGCAACCCUGGCGGCGAGCGGCGAACGGGUGAGUAACAUAUCGGAACGUACCCUAUCGCGGGGGAUAACACAUCGAAAGAUGUGCUAAUACCGCAUACGAACUGCGGGUGAAAGCAGGGGAUCGCAAGACCUUGCGCUACAGGAGCGGCCGAUGUCGGAUUAGCUAGUUGGUGAGGUAAAGGCCCACCAAGGCGACGAUCCGUAGCUGGUCUGAGAGGACGACCAGCCACACUGGAACUGAGACACGGUCCAGACUCCUACGGGAGGCAGCAGUGGGGAAUUUUGGACAAUGGGGGCAACCCUGAUCCAGCCAUGCCGCGUGAGUGAAGAAGGCCUUCGGGUUGUAAAGCUCUUUCGGCAGGAACGAAACGGUUAGCGCUAACAUCGCGUGCUAAUGACGGUACCUGAAGAAGAAGCACCGGCUAACUACGU
This 482-nucleotide ribosomal RNA is filed under the name uncultured bacterium. RNAcentral's name for it is "bacterial SSU rRNA". It matches the Rfam family "Bacterial small subunit ribosomal RNA", at positions 29 to 506 of the family's 1533-position model. The record is from RNAcentral.